This is a long non-coding RNA of Myotis brandtii (Brandt's bat), 1515 nucleotides long. RefSeq lists it as uncharacterized. The record is from RefSeq and is a predicted model, not a curated record. The transcript has 3 exons. NCBI's taxonomy places the organism in Eukaryota, Metazoa, Chordata, Mammalia, Chiroptera, Vespertilionidae.
GACCAUUGUUCUAGGAUGAAAGGCCUGACCCGAGUUAGGCCUGGGCGUGGUCAGGCCCCUGGUCCCUCCUCCCGGCCUUAGCGGUUCUCUCUCUCUCUCUCUCUCUCUCUCUCUCUCUCUCGGGGUUUUCUGUGUAGACGUCUCUCUUGCGCUGCCUGGCGUGCGGAAGCUGGUCCUCGGGGAAGCCUGUGCCGUGGCAAAUGCUCCGUGACAGAACCGGGAAGCCACCGGGACGCGCUGAUGCACAGAGGGCUGAGCCGUGUCCCAGAGGCGUUGCCAGGGGAGCUCAGUGCUGGACUGGCCCCCCGCAGACCACCUGCCACAGAGUCACCCCGGGGACAGCAGGCCAAUGUCGGUCUUCCCACCCACGGAGAGGGUUUCAUGGCUGAGAACGAAGGCUGGGUGAACUGCACUUCCCACCGCGGAGUUCUACCUCUGCCAAGUGCCCUGUCCUGUCCCCGAGGAUGUGCACAGUACCUUUACCAGGAGGUGAGUCUGGAGGCAGAGGUGGAAGCAAGGAGAGGCCCGGAGGCCGGGGAAGCUCAGCGCACGUCCCGGCAGCCUGCUCCUGGGCCUGGGCCCUGCGGCUGCAGCACCAGCGGUCGGGGCAGCUCCUGGGACCCUUCCCACUGGCACGUGCUGUCCUCAGCACCGCUUCCCUGGGGACAGGGGCACCUGCAGCCCUCCGCGAGCGGGGGCCACUGAGGUGGGCGUCAGGCAGAGGUCACUGCUCUGGGAGAGCGGACGAGGCGCUGCGGGAUGCGGGGAGCACGCUCAGCCAGAGCUGAGGGCAGAGCAGCCUCAGUGUUUGCUGCGUUCUCCCCGAGAACCCCGAGAGCGCAGUGGUUUCUGGAGAAUGUUUAGGAGACCACGGGAACCUUCCCUCCAAUCCUUUGUUAGGAAGAGGAGAAGCACCGGCGCAUCCUCAAAAGCUGUACGUGCGGAUAAUUUAUAAAUAAUAAGUUAAUCUGAACUUCAGAGCAGGCUCGCAUUAUAUCACAUGGAACGUAAGAAAUCCACAGGGCACACUUGUAUUUGGAUCUGACAUCUCUCACGGGCACACAAUGCCUAAAGUUGUUUUUAUCUAUUAAAUUUGGUACAGUAUUAAAUUUUUAUGAUUCUUUCCUCCCAAAGCAUCUGAUUUUCUUCAAGUAAACAGACCAGCCUGGUUUCCCAUCCAUUAGGGGACACAUCGCUGGAGGAGAAAAGCAGAUUUAUUUUGGAAAGUUGAUUCUGGCACAUCACCCGAGUCCCUGAGCACAGGCACUCUGAACCUGCACGUCCUUGUCCGUGAAGCAGGCGUGGAAGAUGCCUGCACUCAAAGGACGACCAGAAACACCGACGGACAGCUGGCCAGCAGCCCGACCACCGCCCAGCACGUCAGCGCAACCAGGCCCGUCUGUGCGGGUCCAAGGGCCUCUCCCCUUCCACGCGCUCCUGUCUGAGACCAGGAAGGACACAGGCCUGUAUCCUCCUUGGCCUCGUAUUAUCCACUCUCCAGUUAACCUGAUUUUC